CCUACGGGGGGCAGCAGUGAGGAAUAUUGGUCAAUGGCCGGAAGGCUGAACCAGCCAUGCCGCGUGAAGGUCAGUGCCCUAUGGGCGUUAAACUUCUUUUGUGCGGGAGCAAUAAUGGUCACGUGUGGCCAGACGAGAGUACCGUACGAAUAAGCAUCAGCUAACUCCGUGCCAGCAGCCGCGGUAAUACGGGGGAUGCAAGCGUUAUCCGGAUUUAUUGGGUUUAAAGGGUGCGUAGGCUGUGAGGUAAGUCAGCGGUGAAAUGCCCCCGCUCAACGGGGUGAAGUGCCAUUGAUACUGCCUGGCUGGAAUGCGGAUGCCGUGGGAGGAAUGUGUGGUGUAGCGGUGAAAUGCAUAGAUAUCACACAGAACACCGAUUGCGAAGGCAUCUCACGAAUCCGCGAUUGACGCUGAUGCACGAAAGCGUGGGUAUCAAACAGGAUUAGAUACCCGGGUAGUC
RNAcentral lists this ribosomal RNA (460 nucleotides) under uncultured bacterium. RNAcentral describes it as "partial 16S ribosomal RNA". It matches the Rfam family "Bacterial small subunit ribosomal RNA", at positions 338 to 795 of the family's 1533-position model. The record is from RNAcentral.